Molecule: long non-coding RNA, 4944 nt
Organism: Pseudopipra pipra
Lineage: Eukaryota; Metazoa; Chordata; Aves; Passeriformes; Pipridae
Exons: 2
Source: RefSeq, a predicted model, not a curated record
GGUGAUGCCAGCUCAGCUGAUGCUAAGGAAAAACCUCAGGAGCAGUUAAUUGAGUGUGAGAUAAGGAAAGGGUUUGAUUUGUGCCAAGGCACAGAUGUUACAGGAUGCAUGCCUGCUGUGCCUGAGAUGUUACAUUUUAUAAUACUACCUGUCCAGUCCCAAGUGUUUCCACCCCGUAGCCUUUGCUCUGGUCUGCCCCGGGCCCACUCCCUGGGAAUUGAGUCUGGGGUGCAUUUCAGGACCCUCUCUUCAUCCCCAUCACCAUCCUCAGAGCACAAAGGGUACACGGUCACCCAGUUCUUGACUCUGUUCUGUUGUUCAGGCCAAGAUAGGAGUGUUCUCUAAACAGCACAGGCCUUGCCUUGACAAGAGACUAAACAUUUCUACUGAAUUCAGGGGUAGGAUUGAUAUGGGGAGCAUGGAAUGGGGUAGGAGGGUUGAGGAAUGUGUAAACUAAAGGGUGCUAAAGGGUGAGGAAUACAAUAUAGCUACUUCUAAAAUCUACUUCUACUAUAAUGACAUAUAAAGCUUAUAAAAAUUAGCAAAGUCAAAAAAAACCUAAAAGGGUCUUAAGGCAUCACAGGGGGGUUUAAAAAUAUCCCCCCAAUAUUUGGAACUCAAUUGGCAAAGGAACUGGAGGAAUGGAAAAGUCAAAACCCUCUUGGAGCCUUGUUCCAGUGUGUGGAUAUUUUGAUAGCCACUGAUGCUGAGCAGCAAUGUUGGGAUCAGACACUAUGGAAUUUCCUUGGACUGGGUGGAUAUGGGGUGUCCCAAACACAAAGUGCAAGUAGUCCAGACCCCAGGAGCCUCCCUGGGCUUUGGAAUUCUCCAAGGACAAUGGAGGCUGGGCCAGGAAGGAAAGAAGCAACCUGUCAACUGCCCCAGCCCCAGCAAAGGAAGCCCAGAGCGGGAUUGCUUCCAGACUAGAGGAGAAGUGUAUUGGGGCACAGCUGACUUAGGAGACAGCUCCUGGGAAAGUCCUGGUUGGGAAUUGUUUCCCAGUGGGGGCAGCUUUGUCCAGCGUGGAAAACAAUUCUCUGGAUGCACAGGAACUCCCCCAGCAGGUCAUGGAACUGGGGGCACUCCUCUGCAGUGCCUCAGCCCAGAAAGCAGAACCAACUGUGCUCACUCCAGCUUUGGGAUUGAGUCAAGGAGAACAAGUUAAUCCUUGGACUUGCUUGAAGAUCUCCAGAAACCAACAGAGGCUGCUGUCCUGCACUGCAGAGUGCACCAAGAGGGGGAGACCAAAGCAGAACUGGGGAAUCAUUUGGCCCAUAAUUCUGCCAAAGAGGCUGCAGAAAAAGGCACUUUAGAGAGUAAAGUUUUGUCUUUACUAACCCUGACAGAGAUACCUCUCCCAGUAGAAAAAAAUGAGUCUAGUGCUAAGGAUUGUCAGCUCAUUGAAACCUUAGGAGCAAAAUUGGCUCCAGGAGGCUGGGCAGUUACCCCAGGUGGGCAAAUAAUAGUCCCUGAACCAGUCUGGUGUGACCUGGUGGAUGGGGAACAUGAGGGUAUUCCUUGGAGUGAAGCAAAUCAUUGAAACAUUUGCACAAGUGGGUUAUAAGUUCAAAACUGCCCCCAAUUGUACAAGCAGUGAGUCAGCAGUGUGGUGUGUGAGAGAAAUGAUCCAACCCCUGCCAAUGCAGUGGGAAUAGGUGAUGUAAAGUGUAGAAAUGUUCCAGGAGAAUGUUGGCAGAUGGAUUUGACUGAAUUGCCCAGAAAAGGGGGGUGUAAAGAUCUCCUAGUCUUGGGGGAUACCUUCUCUGGGUGGCCAGAGGCUUUUCCUUGUUGUACUAAGAAGGUUUGGAAAGAGACUGCAAUCCUGUUCAAUGCAAUCCUCCCUGUAUUUGGGAUGCCUUUGGGAAUGUCAUCAGACAGAGGUUCCCACUUAUUGUAGAAACAAAAUGCUUCACUCUUGUUUUGCUCUUCUGAACACAGUUCAAACACUGUUGACAUGGGAGGAAAAUUUACAUCUCUUUUUAGUGCCAAAUGUGAUCCAAGUGUUGUCUAAAAGUGUCUGUAUUAAGUAAGCAAGACUCUGUAAUGAAUCUGUAAACUGUGUGUGUAAUGUAAAGCCCUGUCUGGCUGUCCCUGAAGUGCUGAGACUGAACAACAGCCCCUGAGCCAAAGCUGAGCUCUAGAUGAACCUCCCAACCUAAUGGGCUGUGUCUCCAUGUAUCUGCUCAUCAGCUAAAACUGGGUCUAUUUGUUGGUACAAAUGUGGUGUGAUGGGACUCCACCUGUGUAUCUGCUCCUGAACAGACAGGUGUGCUUAUUAGUCAGAUCUGUUAGUCUGGGCUCAUUAGUGAAUCCUGUUUGUACCUGUUCAUUAAUGAAAUAUGUCUGAUUGUGAGCAAAAUGUGAUCUUUAUCCUUCUGUAUCUGGAGAGUGGUCAAGGCCAUGGCAGUCGAUGUCUGGCCUUGUUUGGCAGCAGAUGGGGCAGGGGGAGCCUUGGUUUGGGAGAAGUAGAACAUUGCUCCCAGUAUUCUGCUCUGGCCAAAUAAGGAACAAUAGAAUCUUAGAGAAGUCCUGGAGAAUUGGAUCAGGGCUGGAACUCAAGCAAACAGGAUGUGAGCUGAGCUCUGGGGACCCAGAGAAGAUCAAACCAAACAUGAUGGUCUCUGUGGGGAAAACCAAUGAUGCUGAGAACUGAGGUCAAGAAGGGGACACCUGACUUUGGGGGGGCACCAGAUGCCAAAAAACCCACCAGAGACCCCCAGAGAAGACCCCAAAUGACCAAAUAGGUACUUGCAAUAAGGGAUGUGACUGUGUAAAGCAAAGUAAUGGACAUGUGUUCAGUAAGGGAGAAUAUCCAAUGCCUCUGGAAUCAGUGUGUGUAAUCCCAAGCCCUGCCUGUGUCCCUGAGCAGGCUGGAUUAGAAGAACUCUCCUGCAGGUGUCCAGCACGCUGCCCUAAAGAAUGCCUGCUUCUUAACACCCCAACUGGGGUGAAGGGCUUGGGUUCUGCUGCUUGUGGGGAUCAUUUCUGGCCCCCAGAUGGGACCCUGUGCCUGAUCUCCCGCGGAUCCGAGGGAUCUCUGGAUCUUCACGCCGGCCCCAGGACUUUCCUGGAGAAGAGCACAGAUCCCAGGCCCAGUCUGGGAUGUGGGGAAGAUCCCAUUGGAUAAUAAGGCAUUCUUUUGGGGAAUCCUGCUCAUGUAAGAUGUGUGGAUCUUCCAGCACUUUGGGUGGGUUAUUUGGUAUUCCACGAUUUGGUGUCUGGCUUUGUUUUAUCCACUGAUCAUUGUUUUGUGUUUGUAUUUGUCUCUGUACUGUAACAUUUGCACAGGUGGGUUAGGGGUGCAAAACUGACCCAGUUGUACAAGCAGUGAGUCAGCAGUGUGGUGUGUGAGAGAAAUGAUCCAACCCCUGCCAAUGCAGUGGGAAUAGGUGAUGUACAGUGUGGAAAUGUUCCAGGUGAAUGUUGGCAGAUGGGUUUCACUGAAUUGCCCAGAAAAGGGGGGUGUAAAGAUCUCCUAGUCUUGGGGGAUACCUUCUCUGAGUGGCCAGAGGUUUUUCCCUUGUGACACCAACUGGGCUGGGGAAGUGAGUGGAAUACUGUUGAAUCCAAGAAUCCCUGGAUUCGAGGUACAUUUGGGAAUGUCAUCAGACAGAGGUUCCCACUUGAUUGUAGAAGUGGUACAAGAAGUCAAAUCAGGGAUGCAUUAUUCCAGAAUUCCAAAGGCCAGAGCCCCUUGGGUAAUUGAGAGGUUGUCUGAGAAGAAACAAAAUGCUUUAGUCUUGUUUUGCUCUCCUGACAAUAGUUAAUUGGGUCUUGACUUGGGAGCAAAAUUUACAUCUCCUUUUAGUAUCAAAUGUGACCCAAGUGUUACCUCCAAGGGAUUGUUGGGUGUGCACUCAUUUCCCUGAAAAGACAAGAAGCCAUUCACCAUUUCUGCCUCCCCUAUUCUGGCAGAAAUGAUUCCUGGUCACUGGGUGAGCACUUGUGUUCCCCAAAAAGUAGACCCAGCAGUUAGUGUGCAAGUACCCCCCCAUCUCUGACAAUCCUGCCUGUGUCCAAAGCUGUGACCCCCACUGAAGGGACAGAAGAACUGGAUUGUGUUAAUGAAAGGGGCACGUUUGUGGGAAAUCACAGCCAAUGUCCUCAAACCCUUCCUGCUGGGGAAAUGACUGAUCCUUGGCCGGUCCCCAAUGGAACAGGGUGGUGUUGGCUGUGUGGAAAUAACACCUGUGAAGGGUUGCCCCAAAGCUGGAAGAGCAUUUGUAUUUCAGCUUGCAUCAGAAUUCAGUGCUGUAGCUGUUCUAAUGCCUCGAGCUGUAAAAUGAAAUAAAGCUCCUAAGACACUCCAUCCCUUCAGGAGCUUAGUCUGAAGAAAAGGAGGGAUUUGAUGUGGGACAUAGAACACUGCUCCCAACAUUUCUCUAUGGCCAAAGAAGGCAAACCAUAAUCUUGGAGAGGUCCUAGAGAAUUCGAUCGGGGAUGUAACUAAGCAAACAGGAUGGAAGCUGAGCUCUGUGCACCCAGAGAAGAUCAAACCCAAACGUUACAGUCUUUGUGGUGAAAGGUAAUGACACUGUGUCUGCUCAGAACCGAGGUCAAGAAGUGGACACCUCAACUUUGGGGGGCACCACAUGCCAAAAAACCCCCACCAGAGACCCCUGAAGAAGACCCCAAAGGACCAACUAAGGACUUGCAAUAGGGGGUGUGACUAUGUAAAGCAAAGUAAGGGAGAAUAUCUAAGGAAUAUAGAAACUGUGUGUGUGUGAUAUAAAGCCCUGUCUGCUGUCCCUGAAGUGCUGAGGCUGAACAACAGCCCCUGAGCCAAAGCUGAGCUCUAGAUGAACCUUCCAACCUACUGGUCUAUUUAUCCAUGUAUUUGCUCCUUAGCUAAAACUGUGUAUGUUUGUUGGUCAAAGAUGUACUGUGUGCAAAGACUACCCCUGUAUCUGCCCAUGAACAAAAUAAAUGUGCUUAUUAGUGAGA